GCAGCAAGAGGAGCAACAGCAGCGAGCAUCAUGCAAUUUCUGUUUGCAUUUUACAUUCAGCUGCGUGUUGCUAUCGAAAUACCUGUGGUGAUCUUCCCUUUUGUUCGCUCCUCAACUGUCGACUGACAGCUGUUGACAGAAUGAGAUGCAAAGCGCAACAAAAAACGGUAGAGUAAGAGAAGGAGAGAGGCAGAUAGACAACCAUACUCAACAUGCAACUCAUGCCACAUUGUAUUAUAUCCAUCAAACAGAUGCACAACAACAAACAACGAGCAACAAACAA
Molecule: long non-coding RNA, 283 nt
Organism: Drosophila arizonae
Lineage: Eukaryota; Metazoa; Arthropoda; Insecta; Diptera; Drosophilidae
Source: RefSeq, a predicted model, not a curated record